Molecule: ribosomal RNA, 475 nt
Filed under: uncultured bacterium
Lineage: Bacteria
Description: bacterial SSU rRNA
Rfam family: Bacterial small subunit ribosomal RNA
Source: RNAcentral
AUUGAACGCUGGCGGCAGGCCUAACACAUGCAAGUCGAGCGGUAGAGAGGUGCUUGCAUCUCUUGAGAGCGGCGGACGGGUGAGUAAUGCCUAGGAAUCUGCCUAGUGGUGGGGGAUAACGUUCGGAAACGGACGCUAAUACCGCAUACGUCCUACGGGAGAAAGCGGGGGAUCUUCGGACCUCGCGCCAUUAGAUGAGCCUAGGUCGGAUUAGCUAGUUGGUGAGGUAAUGGCUCACCAAGGCGACGAUCCGUAACUGGUCUGAGAGGAUGAUCAGUCACACUGGAACUGAGACACGGUCCAGACUCCUACGGGAGGCAGCAGUGGGGAAUAUUGGACAAUGGGCGAAAGCCUGAUCCAGCCAUGCCGCGUGNGUGAAGAAGGUCUUCGGAUUGUAAAGCACUUUAAGUUGGGAGGAAGGGUAGGUAACCUAAUACGUUGGCUACUUUGACGUUACCGACAGAUAAGCACCGGC